AACGAACGCUGGCGGCAUGCCUAACACAUGCAAGUCGAACGAGACCUUCGGGUCUAGUGGCGCACGGGUGCGUAACGCGUGGGAACCUGCCCUUAGGUUCGGAAUAACUCCCCGAAAGGGGUGCUAAUACCGGAUAAUGUCUUCGGACCAAAGAUUUAUCGCCUUUGGAUGGGCCCGCGUUGGAUUAGCUAGUUGGUAGGGUAAAAGCCUACCACGGCGACGAUCCAUAGCUGGUCUGAGAGGAUGAUCAGCCACACUGGGACUGAGACACGGCCCAGACUCCUACGGGAGGGAGCAGUGGGGAAUAUUGGAAAAUGGGCGAAAGCCUGAUCCAGCAAUGACGCGUGAGUGAUGAAGGCCUUAGGGUUGUAAAGCUCUUUUACCCGGGAUGAUAAUGACAGUACCGGGAGAAUAAGCUACGGCUAACUCCGUG
This 433-nucleotide ribosomal RNA is filed under the name uncultured bacterium. RNAcentral describes it as "partial 16S ribosomal RNA". It matches the Rfam family "Bacterial small subunit ribosomal RNA", at positions 29 to 507 of the family's 1533-position model. The record is from RNAcentral.